GACGAACGCUGGCGGCGUGCCUAACACAUGCAAGUCGAGCGAUGAAAUUAGAAACGGAGUCUUCGGACGAAGUGGAAAAUGGAUUAGCGGCGGACGGGUGAGUAACACGUGAGCAACCUGCCUAUCACAUCGGGAUAGCCUCGGGAAACUGGGAUUAAUACCGAAUGAAACAUAAUCACUGCCUAGUGGAAAUGUCAAAGAUUUAUCGGUGAUAGAUGGGCUCGCGUCUGAUUAGCUAGUUGGUGAGGUAAUGGCUCACCAAGGCGACGAUCAGUAGCCGGCCUGAGAGGGUGAACGGCCACAUUGGGACUGAGACACGGCCCAAACUCCUACGGGAGGCAGCAGUGGGGAAUAUUGCACAAUGGAGGGAACUCUGAUGCAGCGACGCCGCGUGAGCGAUGAAGGCUUUCGAGUCGUAAGGCUCUGUCGAAUGGGAAGAUAAUGACGGUACCAUUUGAGAAAGCCCCGGCUAACUACGUGCCAGCAGCCGCCGCUAA
RNAcentral lists this ribosomal RNA (497 nucleotides) under uncultured bacterium. RNAcentral describes it as "partial 16S ribosomal RNA". It matches the Rfam family "Bacterial small subunit ribosomal RNA", at positions 28 to 524 of the family's 1533-position model. The record is from RNAcentral.